This 253-nucleotide ribosomal RNA is filed under the name uncultured bacterium. RNAcentral describes it as "partial 16S ribosomal RNA". It matches the Rfam family "Bacterial small subunit ribosomal RNA", at positions 524 to 776 of the family's 1533-position model. The record is from RNAcentral.
UACAGAGGGUGCAAGCGUUGUUCGGAAUUAUUGGGCGUAAAGGGCUUGUAGGCGGUUUGUCGCGUCUGCCGUGAAAAUUCGAGGCUCAACCUCGAACUUGCGGUGGGUACGGGCAGACUAGAGUGUGGUAGGGGAGACUGGAAUUCCUGGUGUAGCGGUGAAAUGCGCAGAUAUCAGGAGGAACACCAGUAGCGAAGGCGGCACUCUGGGCCGGUACUGACGCUGAGGAGCGAAAGCGUGGGGAGCGAACAGG